GAUGAACGCUGGCGGCGUGCCUAAUACAUGCAAGUCGAGCGAACAGAUGAGGAGCUUGCUCCUCUGACGUUAGCGGCGGACGGGUGAGUAACACGUGGAUAACCUACCUAUAAGACUGGGAUAACUUCGGGAAACCGGAGCUAAUACCGGAUAAUAUAUUGAAUCGCAUGGUUCAAUAGUGAAAGACGGUUUUGCUGUCACUUAUAGAUGGAUCCGCGCCGCAUUAGCUAGUUGGUAAGGUAACGGCUUACCAAGGCAACGAUGCGUAGCCGACCUGAGAGGGUGAUCGGCCACACUGGAACUGAGACACGGUCCAGACUCCUACGGGAGGCAGCAGUAGGGAUUCUUCCGCAAUGGGCGAAAGCCUGACGGAGCAACGCCGCGUGAGUGAUGAAGGUCUUCGGAUCGUAAAACUCUGUUAUUAGGGAAGAACAAAUGUGUAAGUAACUAUGCACGUCUUGACGGUACCUAAUCAGAAAGCCACGGCUAACUACGUG
RNAcentral lists this ribosomal RNA (497 nucleotides) under uncultured bacterium. RNAcentral's name for it is "partial 16S ribosomal RNA". It matches the Rfam family "Bacterial small subunit ribosomal RNA", at positions 28 to 507 of the family's 1533-position model. The record is from RNAcentral.